CCUUCCUCCCUCUCACACAUCACCUCCGUCGCCGCCAGCCUUCCUCCGGUGCCGCCGUCACGCCACCGCCACUUCCGGCGGUGGUCCUUCUUCCUCUUCCUCUCUUUCUCUCCCUCGGUUCCCCCUUCACCGUUGGCAUGCAGAGGCAGCGGCUUCGCCGCCCUCCUCCCGGCAGUCCGGCCGUCUCCGGACAACAGCGGAUCGGUGCUCCCUCUCUCUCUCUCUCGCCGCCGCCACAGCCGAGACCUCUGCCCCAUGUUGAACUCCCGAAAGGUUGGUGAAAUUAAUGAAGAAUCGGGAUGCGGGGCUGCCACGGUCGGCGACGGCGUGCCGAAACUCAGUCACUGGAAAUCUGGCAGAUUUGCAUUCUUGAGAUAAGUUCUUAACUUGUGCUUACUGUAGUUGUAGAACUUGGUUUAUCUGUUUUAUGAAUUCGACGAAUUUGAACAAUUGUCUUACUACUAAAAGACUUGAUGGUGAAAUCAUGUUGAGCUUAUGUGUGUUGGGAAUUUCACUUAGGCUGAUUCUAGUUGCCUAUUUAUAUAUGCAUACUUGUACAUAUAUGAAAGAAAGAAAAAAAAGGCUUGGAGUUUACCUUAAUUUGGUGGUAAAAAUAUGUUGUUGGAUAGUGGGACUUGGCAGUGGGAAAAAAAUGUUGUUGGAUUGUGGAACUUGGCCCUAUAAUUUAUCUGCAACUCUCCACUUCUCUUUGACUCCUUGUCUCUACUUUGAAUUUGUUGAAGGAUUUUAAAGUGAUCUCUUAUUGUUUUGAGAGGGGCGAUGGAGAGGGAAUGUUAAUUCCUAUGUAUAUACAUAUAUGUUUUGCCAAGCCUAUCUUGUACAUAUAUCUCUUAUUUUGAUAUGUUUAGAUCCUUUGCAGAGAUUUGAUAUCUUAUUUGUUUACAUGGCAUAAUCUACUCCGUCAAAUCUUGUGAUGAAAUCUUCAAAGAUUAUAUGCAUUAAAUGCACACAGCCCACUUGCAAAAUCCUACUUAUAUCUCAUCAUAAUUUAUUUGAUAUAAUACGUGAAUCUUCAUAAAUGAAUGCCUAGGUAAAUCUUUGAGAAAAUCUUUAAAUCCAUAAUGCUACAUUAUAUUUUGAUUUUGGCAUUAAGUUCAAGAUCUUAUAUAAUUUCCACUCUCACCCAAAACCAAUUUAUGCAGGAACAUUCAUUUGGGAUGUUGGUGAUAUACAGGAUCGGCCCUAUUUUUUUAUUUGUUUAUUAAAUUAAUUAUUUAAGUAUUUGUUCACUUAUUCUUUUAAUUUGGUGUAGGUAUAAUUGGUUUAAGUUCGUGACUAUCCGAGCUGAAGUACCCGAUUUUCUUAGAACGCAUGAUGUAUAGAUUAAAUUUUGUUGGACUUUUGUUGGAUGUAUCGGACAUUAAAAUUUUGAUUUUGGGAUCUUAUUUAUUUAUUUAAAUUUAUUAUAUUCA
Salvia splendens (bonfire salvia) is the source of this 1433-nucleotide long non-coding RNA. RefSeq lists it as uncharacterized. NCBI's taxonomy places the organism in Eukaryota, Viridiplantae, Streptophyta, Magnoliopsida, Lamiales, Lamiaceae. The record is from RefSeq and is a predicted model, not a curated record. The transcript has 2 exons.